GUAGUAGCUAGCUUACACGCAUGCGUCAUUGCUUCUGCCAGAGGAUCAGUGAAUACGUGGGUAUUUUUUGUGUCCCGUCUUUUCUAAGAACAAAACAAAAGAACAAAAACAACAGUCCGUCACGCUGGAUUUUUCAGAAUUUGAAUAUCCUGGCAUUAAUCACGGACGGAGUUGAGCUUCUUGGAGAUUUCAUACGAGUCAUCCAGAACUUUGAUCACUCGGGAGACAUGAAAAGAAAUCAAAUGAUGAUUGAUUUUCCACACCUGCGACAGGGAAUUCGCCAGAUACAAGUGAUAAACCACAGGAUGAAACAUCAAAGAAUCGAAAUAUCUCCUGUUUAUUUUGAAAGAAACCGACAACAAGAGUGAGUAGAGUACCGUCUGUGAGAAAAAACAGCUCCAUUACCCCAGUUCACUCUGCCAGAAAUUCAGAAAUCAAACAUUCAUUCAACAUCAUAGAGUUUGGAGUGAUCUCACCUAAAUCCCAGGCUCCUUCAUUAGAAUUUCAACAUCAACAACAGGAUAUUUUUGUUUGUAUCACAUUUUUACAGGAAGAAAAGAACAGUAAAGCAAAGGUAUAAAACAUUCAAUUAUCGAGAAAAUCUAUCUCACCAAGGAGACAAGAAAAAUGAAAAAAUGGAGAGAAUAAGCAGUAAAAGAGGGAUUACAAAUGCGUUACCGUGGAGAAUGGCCAACCACGCUGGUUACAGAAUUUAUCCAAUAAAGGAAUCUAUAACGCGAAACCGUGUCCCAAUAUCGACAAGGUGAUUAUCUCCGAGUCUUCAUUAUUCAGCGCCAAACUCAUGAAUAAUCCCUCACAGGUGAAGAAAGUGAAAAGAAUAGAGAAAAGUGGGUUAGCAAGAAGAAAUAAGGAUUUUGAAUAACGUUUUUGAUCUGCCGUUGUUUUAGAUCUUGCUUCUGUGUUCUGAAGCAUAAAUAGAUUGGAAAUGUUAGAAUAGUCUCUCGGUGAGCGGAAUUAAGUCUACUGGAAGAAAGUGUUAUCAGUUUCUCAACGAGGAAUUCGCAUCAAACCUGAUCAUCGAAAUGAUCACCAAGAUUUAAAUUAAGAUUUAGGACCUGUAUUACCGAGCCAAAUCGGAUUAGAAGGAAAUAAAGUUUGUGAACAAUGAAAAUGUGCAGAAGUCA
Unclassified non-coding RNA from Octopus bimaculoides (California two-spot octopus), 1145 nucleotides. NCBI's taxonomy places the organism in Eukaryota, Metazoa, Mollusca, Cephalopoda, Octopoda, Octopodidae. The record is from RefSeq and is a predicted model, not a curated record.